This 363-nucleotide long non-coding RNA is filed under the name Helianthus annuus (common sunflower). Its description in RNAcentral is "hypothetical non coding rna". It matches the Rfam family "Bacterial small subunit ribosomal RNA", at positions 1201 to 1520 of the family's 1533-position model. Lineage: Eukaryota; Viridiplantae; Streptophyta; Magnoliopsida; Asterales; Asteraceae. The record is from RNAcentral.
GACUCAACCAAUUCAACACAAAACAGACAGAGGAAUCUUGGACGUGAUAUUGUAAGGCGGAGCGAAUCCGGAAAGAUUGCCUCAGUUCGGAUUGUUCUCUGCAACUCGGGAACAUGAAGUUGGAAUCGCUAGUAAUCGUGGAUCAGCAUGCCGCGGUGAAUAUGUACCCGGGCCCUGUACACACUGCCCCCGUCACACCCUGGGAAUAGGUUUCGCCCGAAGCGUCGGACCAAUGAUCACCCAUGACUUCUGUGUACCACUAGUGCCACAAAGGAUUUUGGUGGUCUUAUUGGCGCAUACCACGGUGGGGUCUUCGACUGGGGUGAAGUCGUAACAAGGUAGCCGUAGGGGAACCUGUGGCUG